AACGCACGAGACCUGCGGACCUGCGGAAGGAUCAUUAACAAAUCCAUUGGCGCGCAUCCAAAUGUCUCCAUGCAUUGGGGAUGCAGCGACAUAUGUACCGUGUGCACGUUUACUCUGUACACUGCUUACAUUUCUACGAAUUAUCUGAUUGUUCAUAAAUGCAUAAAUGUCAACUUUCAACAAUGGAUCUCU
This 192-nucleotide unclassified non-coding RNA is filed under the name soil metagenome. RNAcentral describes it as "partial contains 5.8S ribosomal RNA, internal transcribed spacer 2, and large subunit ribosomal RNA". The record is from RNAcentral.